Long non-coding RNA from Haliotis rubra (blacklip abalone), 139 nucleotides. RefSeq lists it as uncharacterized. The transcript is spliced from 4 exons. NCBI's taxonomy places the organism in Eukaryota, Metazoa, Mollusca, Gastropoda, Lepetellida, Haliotidae. The record is from RefSeq and is a predicted model, not a curated record.
AAACACACAUUGCUCUUAUGGCGAACGGUCAGGUUUUAUCAUCCAAAGCUGUGUUCCACAGGACAUAUUGUUUUGUGUGAGAUCAAACGAUAUCUCCAAGGAGAUAUCGUUUUGACAGUAGAUUUUAUACAAUGCCCUG